Molecule: ribosomal RNA, 246 nt
Filed under: uncultured bacterium
Lineage: Bacteria
Description: partial 16S ribosomal RNA
Rfam family: Bacterial small subunit ribosomal RNA
Source: RNAcentral
GCAAGUCGAGCGGUAACAGAAAGUAGCUUGCUACUUUGCUGACGAGCGGCGGACGGGUGAGUAAUGCUUGGGAACAUGCCUUGAGGUGGGGGACAACAGUUGGAAACGACUGCUAAUACCGCAUAAUGUCUACGGAACAAAGGGGGCUUCAGCUCUUGCCCUUAGAUUGGCCCAAGUGAGAUUAGCUAGUUGGUGAGGUAAUGGCUCACCAAGGCGACGAUCCCUAGCUGGUUUGAGAGGAUGAUC